This 131-nucleotide ribosomal RNA is filed under the name Magnetococcales bacterium. RNAcentral describes it as "partial 23S ribosomal RNA". It matches the Rfam family "Bacterial large subunit ribosomal RNA", at positions 2784 to 2925 of the family's 2925-position model. The record is from RNAcentral. Lineage: Bacteria; Pseudomonadati; Pseudomonadota; Magnetococcia; Magnetococcales.
AGCGGGAAACCCGCCUCAAGAUAAGUUCUCCCUACGAGACCCGUGGAAGACCACCACGUUGAUAGGCUGGGUGUGCAAGCGCGGUAACGCGCGUAGCUUACCAGUACUAAUCGGUCCAUUGGCUUUAUUCC